RNAcentral lists this long non-coding RNA (339 nucleotides) under Amborella trichopoda. RNAcentral describes it as "long non-coding RNA (ATRI_LNC005464)". The record is from RNAcentral. Lineage: Eukaryota; Viridiplantae; Streptophyta; Magnoliopsida; Amborellales; Amborellaceae.
GAAAAUCAAGAAAGACAAGCUUCUUUAGCGAGAUGUAGCAGGGUGCAAAGCUUUGUUAAUGAUGGAUUUCAGCAACGCCUCUUUAAUGGUAUGGUGGAUUUUGAAGAGAUGUAGAAGAAUAACAAGGUUUUUCAAUGGUGGAUUUUAGGAGAGAAGGAGCAGGGCAACAUGCUUCAUCAUAGUUAAAUUUUUGAAAAAUAAAUAGCUUCAUCAAUGGUAGAUUUAGAGAGAUAAAAAGGAUAACAAGCUUCGUCAAUGGUGGAUUCGAGUAGAGUUAUAGCAGACAGAGAGAGAAGAGUAAGCUGAGGUCUUCUGCGACUCGAGUCCAAUGAGGUUUUG